AUGCCCCAGGCCACAGUCCAGUCUCUGAAGUUUCACCCAGCAGGGGGGAGGAGGGGCAGCCAGGCCAGGGUGGUGCCUCUUCUGGUCGCCCAGAUCACUCCAGAGCAUCCUCUGAGCUGGCCAGGGUUUUGGAUAGGAGGCUUUCCUGAAGGCGGUAGAGGUGCUGGAUUUGAAUCCCGUCAUCCAGGUGGGAACAUGACCAGGUCCCAGGAGCUUUGCAGGUCAUCCAUUUUCUUUGUCAGAUAUCACUUUAUUAUUAGUCCUCAUGCUGGGCAGCCCACAGCAAAUACAUUUAGAGAGACAUCUCCAGAUUCUCCCAGCCACCCUCUUCUUUUUCUGGGUGAGGCCAGAGGGAGUGACUGGGGACAUAUUCUCGGGCUGCUCAACAAGGGUCGAGCUUCCCACAUCAGGCACCUCCGGGCGGCAGUGGCUUCCUUCAGGGACUUUACCGCUGAUGUCAUGGGUGCCACUGGUGUUGCAGGUGUCACAGGUGAUGUGGUUGUCCUGUGUGCCAUGGGUUCUGUGAGUGCUGUGAGCGACGCAGGUGCUACGGGUGACACUGGUGUCACGGGUGCCUCUGGUGUCACGGGUGGGGCAGGUGUCACUGGUGACACUGGUGUCACCAGUAUCUCGGUUGCCAUGGGUGUCAUCUAUGUUGCAGGCCCCAGUGGUGUCCUGGGUGCUCAGGGCGUCAUAGGUGAGGCUGGGAUCACAGGUGUGGCUGGUGUCACGGGUGCUGCAGGCGUCACAGGUGAGGCUGGUACCUCUGGUAUUGCAGCUGUCACAGGUGCUGAUGGUGUCACGGGCGUCUCUGGUGCCACGGGUAACGAUGGUAUCACGGGUGUGGCUGCUGUCACGCCUGCUGCAGGGGUCGCAGGUGAGCCUGGUCCUGCACGUGUCGUGGUGUUCACCGGCAUGAUCGGUGGCUCAGGGGAUGCUGGCAUCGCGUGUGUUGCAAGUGGAGGGGGCUGGGCUGGGGUUGAUGGUCCUCGCUUCCGGGCAGGGUGGGGGAGUGGCAGGCUCUCUGGCCUUCUCCGUUGA
This 1041-nucleotide long non-coding RNA is filed under the name Bos indicus x Bos taurus (hybrid cattle). RNAcentral's name for it is "lncRNA (ENSBIXG00005028609.1)". Lineage: Eukaryota; Metazoa; Chordata; Mammalia; Artiodactyla; Bovidae. The record is from RNAcentral.